This 497-nucleotide ribosomal RNA is filed under the name uncultured bacterium. RNAcentral's name for it is "partial 16S ribosomal RNA". It matches the Rfam family "Bacterial small subunit ribosomal RNA", at positions 28 to 507 of the family's 1533-position model. The record is from RNAcentral.
GAUGAACGCUGGCGGCGUGCCUAAUACAUGCAAGUCGAGCGAACGGACGAGACGCUUGCUUCUCUGAUGUUAGCGGCGGACGGGUGAGUAACACGUGGAUAACCUACCUAUCAGACUGGGAUCACUUCGGGAAACCGGCGCUAAUACCGGAUGAUAUUUUGCACCGCAUGGUUCAAAGGUGAAAGACGGUCUUGCUGUCACUUAUCGAUGCAUCCGCGCUGCAUUAGCUAGUUGGUAAGGUAACGGCUUACCAAGGCAACGAUGCAUAGCCGACCUGAGAGGGUGGUCGGCCACACGAGAACUGAGACACGGUCCAGACGCCUACGGGAGGCAGCAGUAGGGAAUCUUCCGCAAUAGGCGAAAGCCUGACGGAGCAACGCCGCGUGAGUGAUGAAGGUCUUCGGAGCGUAAAACUCUGUUAUGAGGGAAGAACAGAUGUGUAAGUAACUGUGCACAUCUUGACGGUACCUAAUCAGAAAGCCACGGCUAACUACGUG